AAGAACAUUACUUGUACUUAAUACUGAGAUACAUGCAUUAUAUUUGUACUUUUUAUAAGUAUUUAUUAUUAAUUGGCGUGUUGUAUAUACAUGUGCCAAGUAUGUACCUGAAUUAUUAUCGAAAAUAUAAAGAAGAAUAAGAAAAGAUUUAAGAAUAUGGACAAAAGCAUCCUUAUAUACGGUCACUUGAUUUAUUAUUUUUUAAAAGGAAAAGGCCAUGAGCCACUUUUAUAUAUUUGCAUUGUUAAACCAAUCUAACAAAUUGAUGGGCUGGGUUGAAAAGAUUAGGUUUCAAAUAACAAAUAGCAGUGUAUCACUUGUACAGACAUAAAAAUUUGAUCUUUGUUGUUUUCGCUACCUCAUAUCUCUAAAAAUCCAUUUUGGAAACCUUUGAUAUCAUUGCAUCUUAGAUCGUCACCAACGCCAAGCUUCAACUGCGGCAUCAUUCUUCUCCUUCAGCAGUGAGUAUAUUUUUUUCUCUUCACCAUAGCUUUCGUAGCUCUAAUCUUGUCUUUAUGUUCUUCUAUUGUGUUUUUCAGUGUAUAAAGAUCUUGGACAGACUCAAUGAUAGGAAAAAAGAUUUUGAUACACCAGAUGUACGUUGCCAUUGUUAUUCUCUGGCAUUCUUUUUUCUUGUUGUUGUGUUUUACUGUUGUCGUUCAAUCUUAGUUAUAUUUUGGGAUUUUUCGAUUUAUGAGUUGUAAAGUCACUUGGUGAAUUUGGUUUUGAUUUUUAGAUUAGAAUAAUGACACUUUUCCAAGUUAACUGUUUUCUCUUCAAGUUGUUAGCUCUAUUCAACUGUUGAUUUCUAAUUCGUUUGUUCUUUCAAUGUCAAAAUAGCUAGAUAGUUUGUCAAAUGAUUCCCUUUUUGUGCAGGGUGCGGAUAUAGACUGAUAACUAAUUUAUGAAAUAGAUUUAGUAUAUAUAUAAUGAAUCUAUUUUUCUUUGUGCGUGGAUAUUUCUUAAGUUUUGUUUUAAUAUUUUUUAAUGAUUUGUUCUUUUCGUAAGAUGUAUUCAUUAAUUUGGUUGGUUUAUUAUUUUAUUCUGUAGUAAUUGCAGAGUUACAAAUUUCUGUAUAAUAAUUUAUCCUAACUGUACUGUAAUAUAUAUCUAAUUCUAGAUUUUCUAUGUUAUUUAUUAUCUUGCGUUGUUCUUCUCGUAGUGAGUUUUUUAAAUUAUAUAAACUAUCACAUGUACUUUUUUCUAAAUUUUCUAAGGUUUCUUCUAUCCAUAUUAACUUUUCUUUUAGAUUUUCCAUUAUUUUUCUAAUUCGGUUUCUAUAAUUAAUUUCUUUAUUUAGAUUAU
Molecule: long non-coding RNA, 1305 nt
Filed under: Capsicum annuum
Lineage: Eukaryota; Viridiplantae; Streptophyta; Magnoliopsida; Solanales; Solanaceae
Description: long non-coding RNA (CANN_LNC012507)
Source: RNAcentral